Molecule: long non-coding RNA, 1245 nt
Organism: Ostrinia nubilalis (European corn borer)
Lineage: Eukaryota; Metazoa; Arthropoda; Insecta; Lepidoptera; Crambidae
Exons: 3
Source: RefSeq, a predicted model, not a curated record
CAACAUGGUUAAUCUGAAUUAAAUUUCGCCGAUGCGUUCAUGCGUUAGAGCGCCAAUCCAUUCGCAUAGUUGUUUUUGAAAAACAUGUGUGAAACCCGUUGCGAUGGACUGAGAGUUGCUUAUUUAGUAUUUGGUUUAUUAUAUGUGGAUAAUGUGUUGGGAUUUGUUAAUGAUGAGCUGGUGAAUGAACUGUAUACGAUGUAUAGAGACGCUGUGAACAGUGAACCUUCAUCAUCACAACGCCGACUCUUUAAAAAUAACAAAGAAUACAACAUUCACGUUGAACGACUGAAAGAAGUUAAUGGAUUUAAGAAACAUAAUCUUAUCAUUAAAGAAGUACUACGAUCUGAUACAGAUCCCAUAAUUUAUAUCAAUAAUCCGGUAGAAUCUAAAAUACCAAAUGCGUAUCUAACUUUAGAAGAAUUCAAAAAAAUACUUAGCGAGAGAGUUAAAAAAGAACAAGAUUCGUUCAAAAUUUCAACGAAAUAUAAAAAGAUAUCAAACACAUUUUACAAUACAAUAACUACAAGUAAUCCAAUUAAUACCAAGGAAAGAGUGUAUAAGACAAUAUCAAAUAAGGAAGAUACAACAAAGAUUAAGAACAAGCCUCCUACUGAAGAACUUAAACCGAAAUCAUUGAAAUUCAAUACAUCAGGUUUUCCAACGAAUGUUGUUCCUACACGAACUUCAACUACGAAAACCACGACGAAUAAUAUAGACAAAAGUGUAGACAAAAAUGUAACUGAAACACAAUCGGUAGAUACUUCGAUAGACCACCAAAUUAACACCACUCCAGGUAUAUUUACUAUCGUUAACAAUACAAUAAUGGAAGAUGAUAACAAUGUCACACAGAAUACAAUAAGAGAAGAAAACACACAUUUAGAAGAAAAUAAUGAUGACAAAUCAAAUGACUCUACUUUAGCAUUAAAAUUGAUCACAGACGGUCAAACAGAAGAACCGUCUAGAAGUGUGGCAGUAGAAGAAACAACAGAAGAAAUACAACCUCAUAUUUCAACUGUUACAAGUACCGAAACUACCACUUUUAGUACAACUACGACAAGAUCGAGAAAAUUGAACAGACCGAGGGUGUUUGUUGGGCGAUGACAAAAUAAGUUUGUAUUAAAGAAAGACACUAAUUUUCAUACAUCAAUAAAUACAUUAGUUUAACUUCCAAUGUCUCAUUAUCUUUUAAAUAUCUAUUGUUAUUUAAUUUUAUAGGUAAAUACACCUAUACCAACAAAUAUA